RNAcentral lists this long non-coding RNA (430 nucleotides) under Mus spicilegus (steppe mouse). RNAcentral describes it as "lncRNA (ENSMSIG00000010411.1)". Lineage: Eukaryota; Metazoa; Chordata; Mammalia; Rodentia; Muridae. The record is from RNAcentral.
UCACUGGCACAGCCUACUUGCCUGGGGAGAGAUGUCCCAGAACAAAGCACCAGCUCCAUGAAGAAGGUGUUGUCAAUGCUGGCUGCUUGCUAAGGAAAGUGACAUGCCGGUGACAUUUAAUUGGAGUCAAGAUCAUAACCAAGGAUCACUGGGCAAAAUUCCUGUGCUCUCUCCAUAUUGUGGGGUAGAGGAUGGGGGUAGAAACCAUGGCUGAGGACAAGCAAGCAGAAUGGAGCCAAGCUUAGGACUGGUCCAUGGCACAAAGAAGAGACGAGAGUUAGAUCAACCCUUAGUCUGGCUGUUGGAAGGAAGACUUGGAAACGUCAAGGGUCCAGAAGAGGAGGGCGGGGCAUUUCUGGGGAUGGUAGAAGCGGGGAGGGACCAGUGUUCCGAGCCCCGCCUCAUUUCUGUUGCCCCGGGAAACCCCGGG